AAUAGAUACCCUGGUAGUCCACGCCGUAAACGAUGAGUGCUAAGUGUUAGGGGGUUUCCGCCCCUUAGUGCUGCAGCUAACGCAUUAAGCACUCCGCCUGGGGAGUACGGUCGCAAGACUGAAACUCAAAGGAAUUGACGGGGGCCCGCACAAGCGGUGGAGCAUGUGGUUUAAUUCGAAGCAACGCGAAGAACCUUACCAGGUCUUGACAUCCCAUUGACCACUAUGGAGACAUAGUUUUCCCUUCGGGGACAACGGUGACAGGUGGUGCAUGGUUGUCGUCAGCUCGUGUCGUGAGAUGUUGGGUUAAGUCCCGCAACGAGCGCAACCCUUGUUCUUAGUUGCCAUCAUUUAGUUGGGCACUCUAAGGAGACUGCCGUACAAAUACGGAGGAAGGUGGGGAUGACGUCAAAUCAUCAUGCCCCUUAUGACCUGGGCUACACACGUGCUACAAUGGGUGGUACAAAGGGCAGCAAACCCGCGAGGGGGAGCGAAUCCCAAAAAGCCACUCUCAGUUCGGAUUGCAGGCUGCAACUCG
Molecule: ribosomal RNA, 538 nt
Filed under: uncultured bacterium
Lineage: Bacteria
Description: bacterial SSU rRNA
Rfam family: Bacterial small subunit ribosomal RNA
Source: RNAcentral